This 90-nucleotide ribosomal RNA is filed under the name Kapaibacterium sp. (SeqCode). Lineage: Bacteria; Pseudomonadati; Bacteroidota; Eximiradiia; Eximiradiales; Kapaibacteriaceae (SeqCode). The record is from RNAcentral.
CCUCUUCCCAUUCCGAACAGAGUAGUUAAGCCCCGCACCGCCAAUGGUACUGCAUGGGGGACUGUGUGGGAGAGUAGGUAGCUGCCGACU